AUGCUGAUACGUACCUGGAGAGAAUCAAAACUCUGCCCUGAGCAGGAAGGACCAUUCCAAGUACUGCUCAGCCCUGAAACAACCAUAAGAGCUGUGGGAAAAGGCUGGACUCACUAUACUCAGGUCAUCUUUAUGACUGCUCCCAUCAACAGCUUGCCCUCAAAUCCGUAUCUGGUCCAGAGCUGAAUUUACUGUGCUUAAAGCAGGUUUGGGUGAGUGUGCAAGGUACUCUCCCUGCUACAUACUCUCAUGUGUUGUAUUUUCCUUUCUUAGGGUGUAGUUCUAGAGCAAUGGUCAAAAGAGCUUACCUUACCUUUACCAAAAGAGCUUCCUGGUGCUUACCGUAGCAGCUAGGAGCAAUGUCCCUUCCCUCACAUAGAAUUUACCCACUUUUAUGGUGGACCAGCCUGGUCCCUCAGAUGCUGGGGGUAUCCAGACCACCUAGUCUACUCAGCAGCUAGUGCAGCCUGAGGUUCACUAACUGCUCAAAAACAAAGGCUCAAAGCAGAGAGCACAGUUACACAGAAGAAAUAGGAUUUAAGAAGAGUAUAGGACAGACUACAGUGAUGAAACAAAAUGCUGUUAGUCAAGCAUACCUACCUGCCCCUGUUUACAUGCCACUGGCUCCUUUUCUCUUUUUUUCUUUUUUAUCUGUUUUGCCGUGUUCAUCCCUCCCAUAUCUGCACUGAUCCCACCUUUUCUCCUUCCUAUGUCUGUUCCUCUAAACAUCCCAUAUGAAGUUUCAUGCAGUCUCUAGGUUCUGCUCUGUUCCAUUUCUAAAUUCUCCCUCUGCAUCCCGUAAUGUCUUAUAUCGCUGUAGGCCAUAAUUACCCUUCAUGGCAUUACCAGGAGACAGUUCCUUUCAGCGAGUCACCUUGGUGGGUUUUGCACCAGGGAUGAUGCAGGGGUGGAUCACCCAUGGCACCAGGGACUGCUCUUCCCUGAUGAUAUGAGGAUCAGCCUAUUUAGUGUGCUACAUUUUCACUGAGUAGGUUACAGGGCUCUCUCUGCCUGCUGUUAUUUCUUCUGUUUCCUUUGAUUAGCCUUUAGACAUGUAACCAAGUGCUUUAUCAAGCAAGUGUUUGUUGGGACAGGGUCUCUGAUCUGGCAUCUUCAGACUUUCUCUUAUUCAUUUCUUCUUCUUUGGAGGUCACUGACAGGUCUACUAAGCAGGAAGAAAAAACAGAACAAUUUGAUUCAGAGUUGUUGCCACAUGUCUGAAUAUCCAAGCCCAUUUUUGGGAAGCAUUCUCUAAAAUUCAGUUGCACUAAGGACAAGGAAACAUGUAGAAGAACACACUGUGAUAUUACAAGUAAUAUCACAAGUAAUGAGUUACUAUAACAAGUAAUAUCCAAGACAAACCUCCCCUGGUGGUACUGGAAACUGUUUCCUUGCAUCCUAUCAUUUGUCACCUGGAAAAAAAAAAAAAAAAAAAAAAAAAAAAAAGGAAUGACAACCACCUCACUACAACCUCCUUCUUUCAGGUUGCUGUAGAAAGCAAUGAGGUCUCCCCUCAACCUCCUUUUCCCCAGGCUAAACAGCCUCAAUUCCUUCAGUUGUUCCUCACAAAGAAAUAAAAAAAAUAGCUUACAGCCAAGAAAACAGAUUUCAACAGAAGAUAAAAAGACAGAAAUAAUGGUAGGUUGCUACCAAAUUGGAUUAUGGAGCUGGUGCCUUUUUUAGGCCAGCAGGCGAGCAGAUAGGAGGGACGGGUACUGUGAAACAGUCUCAUGAGAUCAGGGGCAUGUUAGCCCACAGAACGCAUGAAUU
RNAcentral lists this long non-coding RNA (1770 nucleotides) under Anas platyrhynchos (mallard). Its description in RNAcentral is "lncRNA (ENSAPLG00020008624.1)". Lineage: Eukaryota; Metazoa; Chordata; Aves; Anseriformes; Anatidae. The record is from RNAcentral.